GGGUCGAUGCCCGAGUGGUUAAUGGGGGCGGAUUGUAACUCCGCUGGCGCAUGCCUACGCUGGUUCAAAUCCAGCUCGGCCCA
Molecule: transfer RNA, 83 nt
Filed under: uncultured Choricystis
Lineage: Eukaryota; Viridiplantae; Chlorophyta; Trebouxiophyceae
Description: tRNA-Tyr
Rfam family: tRNA
About the family: Transfer RNA (tRNA) molecules are approximately 80 nucleotides in length. Their secondary structure includes four short double-helical elements and three loops (D, anti-codon, and T loops).
Source: RNAcentral